RNAcentral lists this ribosomal RNA (253 nucleotides) under uncultured bacterium. Its description in RNAcentral is "partial 16S ribosomal RNA". It matches the Rfam family "Bacterial small subunit ribosomal RNA", at positions 524 to 776 of the family's 1533-position model. The record is from RNAcentral.
UACGUAGGGGGCAAGCGUUGUCCGGAUUUGUUGGGCGUAAAGAGCGUGUAGGCGGUCAGAUAGGUCCGUUGUGAAAACUCGAGGCUCAACCUCGAGACGCCGAUGGAAACCAUCUGACUAGAGUCCGGAAGAGGAGAGUGGAAUUCCUGGUGUAGCGGUGAAAUGCGCAGAUAUCAGGAAGAACACCCGUGGCUAAGGCGGCUCUCUAGUACGGUACUGACGCUGAGACGCGAAAGCGUGGGGAGCGAACAGG